This 301-nucleotide ribosomal RNA is filed under the name uncultured bacterium. RNAcentral's name for it is "partial 16S ribosomal RNA". It matches the Rfam family "Bacterial small subunit ribosomal RNA", at positions 509 to 807 of the family's 1533-position model. The record is from RNAcentral.
CAGCCGCCGCGAGAAUACGUAGGGUGCGAGCGUUAAUCGGAUUUACUGGGCGUAAAGGGCGCGUAGGCGGACUGAUAAGUCAGGGGUGAAAUCCCAAGGCUCAACCUUGGAACUGCCUUUGAUACUGUUUGUCUUGAGUUCGAGAGAGGUAAGUGGAACUGCGAGUGUAGAGGUGAAAUUCGUAGAUAUUCGCAAGAACACCAGUGGCGAAGGCGGCUUACUGGCUCGAAACUGACGCUGAGGCGCGAAAGCGUGGGGAGCAAACAGGAUUAGAGACCCCCGUAGUCCCUGUCUCUUAUAC